Pan troglodytes (chimpanzee) is the source of this 83-nucleotide microRNA precursor. It matches the Rfam family "mir-548 microRNA precursor family". The record is from Rfam. Lineage: Eukaryota; Metazoa; Chordata; Mammalia; Primates; Hominidae.
UAUUAGGUUGGUGCAAAAGUAAUUGCGGUUUUUGCAAUUAAAAGUAAUGUAAAAACCACAAUUACUUUUGCACCAACCUAAUA